Molecule: transfer RNA, 87 nt
Filed under: Armatimonadota bacterium
Lineage: Bacteria; Bacillati; Armatimonadota
Description: Armatimonadetes bacterium (sediment metagenome) tRNA-Leu
Rfam family: tRNA
About the family: Transfer RNA (tRNA) molecules are approximately 80 nucleotides in length. Their secondary structure includes four short double-helical elements and three loops (D, anti-codon, and T loops). Further hydrogen bonds mediate the characteristic L-shaped molecular structure. tRNAs have two regions of fundamental functional importance: the anti-codon, which is responsible for specific mRNA codon recognition, and the 3' end, to which the tRNAs corresponding amino acid is attached (by aminoacyl-tRNA synthetases). tRNAs cope with the degeneracy of the genetic code in two manners: having more than one tRNA (with a specific anti-codon) for a particular amino acid; and 'wobble' base-pairing, i.e. permitting non-standard base-pairing at the 3rd anti-codon position.
Source: RNAcentral
GCGGGCGUGGUGGAAUUGGUAGACACGCUAGAUUCAGGUUCUAGUGGGCUUUCGCCCGUGGGGGUUCGAGUCCCUCCGCCCGCACCA